CAACCUCAACUCAUAUGGGACUACCCCCUGAAUUUAAGCAUAUUAAUUAGGGGAGGAAAAGAAACUAACAAGGAUUUUCUUAGUAGCGGCGAGCGAAAAGAAAACAGUUCAGCACUAAGUCACUUUGUCUAUAUGGCAAAUGUGAGAUGCAGUGUAUGGAGCGUCAAUAUUCUAGUAUGAGAAAUUAAUGAUUUAAGUCCUUCUUAAAUGAGGCCAUUUACCCAUAGAGGGUGCCAGGCCCGUAUAACGUUAAUGAUUGCUAGAUGAUGUUUCCAAAGAGUCGUGUUGCUUGAUAGUGCAGCACUAAGUGGGUGGUAAACUCCAUCUAAAACUAAAUAUAACCAUGAGACCGAUAGUAAACAAGUACCGUGAGGGAAAGUUGAAAAGAACUCUGAAUAGAGAGUUAAACAGUACGUGAAACUGCUUAGAGGUUAAGCCCGAUGAACCUGAAUAUCCGUUAUGGAAAAUUCAUCAUUAAAAUUGUAAUAUUUAAAUAAUAUUAUUAAGAAUAAUGUGCAUUUUUUCCAUAUAAGGACAUUGUAAUCUAUUAGCAUAUCCCAAAUUUAUCAUAAAAUAUAACUUAUAGUUUAUUCCAAUUAAAUUGCUUGCAUUUUUAACACAGAAAUAAAUGUUAUUAAUUUGAUAAAGUGCUGAUAGAUUUAUAUUAUUACAGAGCGUUAAUUUUUCGGAAUUAUAUAAUGGCAUAAUUAUCAUUGAUUUUUGUGUUUAUUAUAUGCUCUUGUAUGAUUAACAAUGCGAAAGAUUCAGGAUACCUUCGGGACCCGUCUUGAAACACGGACCAAGGAGUCUAACAUAUGUGCAAGUUAUUGGGAUGUAAACCUAAUAGCGUAAUUAACUUGACUAAUAAUGGGGAUUAGUUUUUUAGCUAUUUAUAGCUAAUUAACACAAUCCCCGGGGCGUUCUAUAUAGUUAUGUAUAAUGUAUAUUUAUAUUAUUUAUGCCUCUAACUGGAACGUACCUUGAGCAUAUAUGCUGUGACCCGAAAGAUGGUGAACUAUACUUGAUCAGGUUGAAGUCAGGGGAAACCCUGAUGGAAGACCGAAACAGUUCUGACGUGCAAAUCGAUUGUCAGAAUUGAGUAUAGGGGCGAAAGACCAAUCGAACCAUCUAGUAGCUGGUUCCUUCCGAAGUUUCCCUCAGGAUAGCUGGUGCAUUUUAAUAUUAUAUAAAAUAAUCUUAUCUGGUAAAGCGAAUGAUUAGAGGCCUUAGGGUCGAAACGAUCUUAACCUAUUCUCAAACUUUAAAUGGGUAAGAACCUUAACUUUCUUGAUAUGAAGUUCAAGGUUAUGAUAUAAUGUGCCCAGUGGGCCACUUUUGGUAAGCAGAACUGGCGCUGUGGGAUGAACCAAACGUAAUGUUACGGUGCCCAAAUUAACAACUCAUGCAGAUACCAUGAAAGGCGUUGGUUGCUUAAAACAGCAGGACGGUGAUCAUGGAAGUCGAAAUCCGCUAAGGAGUGUGUAACAACUCACCUGCCGAAGCAACUAGCCCUUAAAAUGGAUGGCGCUUAAGUUGUAUACCUAUACAUUACCGCUAAAGUAGAUGAUUUAUAUUACUUGUGAUAUAAAUUUUGAAACUUUAGUG
RNAcentral lists this non-coding RNA (1605 nucleotides) under Drosophila sechellia. RNAcentral's name for it is "Eukaryotic large subunit ribosomal RNA". It matches the Rfam family "Eukaryotic large subunit ribosomal RNA", at positions 1 to 1379 of the family's 3401-position model. The record is from Rfam by way of RNAcentral. Lineage: Eukaryota; Metazoa; Arthropoda; Insecta; Diptera; Drosophilidae.